ACUCUCCUUCAUGGAUUCCCUGCACAUGAUCUGUGCGCCACACUAGCUGCCUGAUGCCCAGCUUGUUUGGUUGACUAGAAUGGCCAUCCCUGUGAACCACCAGCCUCCAGGAAAUAUCUGCAGGAGGUGGCGGUACUUGCUCCGGUGAUCACCUGCUGACAUUCACUGGGAUAGCCACCAGCGGGGUGAGGACAGAUGCAGCACCUGUCUCCUGCUGAGACUCAGCAAGUAUCAGUGUGGACCAUGAAUUGCUUAAAAUGGGAUGGUGGAGAGAACUAUUUCAUUUUACUACAUACCAGUGUGCAUCAAAAUCAGAUCCUAUUGGUUCUGUCUUGACUACCCCGAGACAGCAUUUUGUCUUCACACUGCAGCCAGCCUGGCACUUUGAGAACAUCAGGCAGAAUAGUCUACUUAAAGAAGACUGUCCAGGACAAAAGCUGGCCAACUCCAUUCAGCCCUGAGGCCAGUAGUUAAAGCAGGAUGCAGAGAAAGGUGUCUUCUCAAGGUCAAGACAAUGUCUUUAUGUGGGUCAGCAUAUGCCACUGACGGCUUUGAAAUGUGCUUUCGCCAAACAUGGAGAAUCUGCCUUCUCAGCCAAGCUUCCCUUCAGGGAAUCUACUCUGCCAAAGCCCAAGGGGCUGCUCCCCAAGUUUAACGGUUCUAAUGAGACUUAGAGCCGGCACAACAGAAGACAUGAGACUCCCGAGCAAGAUACUGGUUAAUGAGCUGUUGACACAGCCCUUAUAUGUAUUAGGAGACAGUGCAGAGGCGCCGGACACAUCCCAGGGAAGAGCGCAGGAGAGAGAAGCCAAACAGGUGCCGUGGGGGCUGCCACACCUACAGAUGGACACCACCAGGCAAGAAUCUCAGGCUUGCAGUUUUCAGCCCUCAGUCUUCACGUUGCCUCCUCAACAGAUCACUGAACUUUGAAACAGUGCAGAUGCUGGUGCUGAAGGCCCAGGGGACAGGCACCCAUGAGACCAGUCCUUUCCUUCCUCUGCCCCUGCAAUCUUCAGAUCGCAGGUCUCCUUAAAGCACAGCGCUUCCUCUGCCAGCUGUGCGCUACUCAAGGGAGGCUUCGCCAGAGAGAGCUGCCAGGAACUCAUGACAUCCCGGAAGUCGCCACAGCUGGACACUGAUAGAAACCUGAAUGGGAGCUGAUGCAAAAUCCUGCUCCUUCUCACCGGCCUGCAGCUGAACCAGCACCUGGUGGAGCUGAGUAAGAGAGAACAGGUGAGUUCUUGCUCCUUCCCAACAUCUUUCCCUCUGACCCACCUCAGAUUUAGCCCCAAAUUAUCCUUGUGUUGCCUGUUACCACUGCUACUGCCUUAUCACCUGAUGUGUGUGCAGCACUUGGAAUUCUUUUUACAGGGCCUUCAUGCCUGCUGUCCUGUUCUCUCUGUGGGAACCUCAUGGGGCAGUGGGUCAAGAGACUAGAUGCGGUGUUACAGGUCGUGGGCCAUAGUCAGGGUUUUCUGCUUCCAGCCUCCCAUCUUUCCUCAUGUACAAGAGGGACUUGGGGACUUGAAGCAGGGUAGAUGAUAGGGCUGGUCACCUUUUUUUAUUUAAUUGAAGUCAUCUUUAUGAUCUUGAGGUAAAUGGACAAAAGGAAUCCAGCAUUAUAUCGUUGUCUUGGCACUUGAGGAAGAACCCACUGCUCAAGUGCCCGUGGUAGUUUAGAUUUCCUCAGAGUCUGAGAACCCUACUCAGGGGUCUCGCCUGGGUUCAGAAUAUCACUUAAAGUCACUUCUGCCCCUGUUGUUCUGGUGGAACUUGAAAGGUCAAAUCAAGAACACAAGAAGGCUGGAGCAGGAAAAGGGGAGCCAGAGCAGAGGAAGGGGGCAGACCAUCUGCACUGGCAGCACUGGUCACCCCAGCCCAGAGCAUGUGUUGGCAUGUGCAUGCGACUCAGAAGUAGCCUGUGCGCACUGAGCUCAGAGCUGCCAAAGGGAACACGGGUGGGUGGUGGGGCUCACCUGACAACAGUUGCUACUUAAAGUAGUACUCACCAUUCCAACCAUAUUUUUAACAGCCUUCGCCAGCAGAUUAUAAGAAAAAGAAAGAAAGAGAGAGAGAAGAGAGUUUAGACUCAAGCAUAGGUUGUUAUGCAACACGAGGUGAUCAUUGCUUUAGGAAGCGCCAUACCAGGCCCGCGGCUCUGACCGGGAGGGGAGAGGAGCAAGAGUCAGCAGGGACACAAGAAAAUGAAUGACCAGAUGCACUUGGGGUGGGGUCAGCUAGGCCCUGCCCUUCUUCAUCAGGAGAGAUGCAGGCCAGAUUAGGGGAGAGGGGGGGUCACAGCAGGGCAUGUGUGGACCAUUCUGUAAAACAAAGUCACUCAGAAAAUGUCCCCUGGCCACUAGGGCAGAAAGCCCAGGACCCUUUUCUGGGGCCCAGUAGUGUCUUAGGUGGAAAGUCCCCAGUAUGCAUCAAAAGCAAGAAAUUAAGCGACUGGCUUGCUGGACUCUCAACCUUGACCUACAGAUAUUCUAGCCUUUUCCUUUGUAGAGCUUUGGCUUUUAUUCCUUCAAAUUCAGGGUGUUUUAAUAUGCAGUGUUCUGGAAGUCUCUUCCUGAUUCCUUUCAACAAGCAGCUAUAACACACUUACUACAAAAAAUGUGGGGAAUGCAAUGAAGGUCCUGAUCACUGAUCUGUGUUCUCAGAACACUGUUACUGUGUUCCGACUUCACACUAGAAACAACCCCACAUCAGGGGCAGCUCUGGGUACCACUCACUUUGUGCAUAUAGAGGUUAAUCCUAGAUGGAGAUUUCCACACAGAAAUAUUUCUCCUUAAAUCUGCUGAUAAAUCUGUCAACAAUGCAUAUGAUUUUUUUCAAAUUAUUACACUCCAGGGUGACCAGAGAAAUCGAGCUGUGCUCUGUAGGGCUGCUACACCAUCCAGAAGCCCACCGCCAAGGCGCGUGGCAGGUCCUCAGUGGCCAGCUGGACCAUCAGAAACUCUGAGGGUUGGGAAGGACUACAUGAUGCUGAGAGUUCAAAUUCUCCAAAUUAGAUCUACACAAUCCUAAAAGAAAGCAUGUUUUAAAAACUGCUAUAAGGUGUCCCUUGUAUUAGUGUUGAAUUUAUGUUCACUUCAGUGCCUCCAUCCUAUUACAGGCAUAGUGCAUACUUAGAGAAUAAACAACACUUUUAGGCAGGCUGGUCCUGCACCCACUUGGCUGUGACACUUGUUAAUCAGCCAAAAAAGUUAGCAGGUGGGGAUGACAGGGUGUAGUAGGCCACUGAACGGAGACUUCAGGAAAUGCCCUGACACUACAGGUGAUAGGGGCCCUUUAAGCAUGCUCUGUAGAUCCACAAUGCUCCCGGGACUCAAUUAAGACAAUUCUCUAACUUCUAGCCCUCACCUUUUCCUUGUAAUCACAAAAGCUGGAAAAAGCAACGAGACUGAUGGCAUUACUUGCAGGUUCCUACUUCGUCUUUCCAACUAGGCUCAACCUCAGGCCCGGGCUUAGCUGCCCAGGUUCAGCUGCCCUGAUGACUCACCCGGCUGAUUAGUUGCUCGCCCGUUUCCGAGGCGGUGAUGAGCUUGCAGAGGGCCUGAAGGGCAGGGUUGGGCAAACCUAAACCAGGAAGGAGACAGAGAUUAUCCAUUAGGGCCUCUGCACCCACGGUCUUGCUGCCUUUCCAGGAGAACGCACCCAUAAUGCUUAGCAUUGGUGGCAUUUUUCCAAAGCUUGGACAGCCAGACAUGUGUGUCCUGGCCUGGCAUGGAAAAGGUGAAAGCAGUCUCUAAGAAAGGUAGGUGGAGGCAGGGGCCAGACCUGACCAUGCUGCACAUGAUCACAUUCACAGGACCAGGUCUCGGGCUCAGGCAGCAUCACCCUCUCUAGGUGAAGCGCAGAGGGCAGCCCUGCAUGUCUGCCUCCUGCUUUUACCUGGGGUUGGCCGCACAGCUCUAUCCGAUUCGCAGCUGCUGAUUACAUAUUAAUGGCAGCUCCUGUUUGUCCAGCUUUUGUGCCACCCCAGAAAAAGGCAGAGACACGGUGGCGCCCUGCUGGGGCAGAGGAUGCCUUGCCAUUACCAAUGCAAAGAUCGGGUUAAGGGCACUAGUUUUCCUCCAAACCAGGAGAAGCGGUGGCUGGGGCUCCUGGCCAUUUCUCAGGAUACUCUCUUGCGCCUUCCUGCCAGUGAGAUCCAACAUCCCUGUGACUGCAGGGACCGUGGCCACCAAUUGCUUUGUCCCUCAGAGUCCCAGCCCUCCCCGAGGCUCACCCAGCAGGGCCUGGAUGGUGUUGCUGCACUGUUGGAGCCGGUCGCCUGGGUCGGAUGUUGGGAAGAAAACAGCUGCCGGCAGGCCACUGGCUGGGGGGUCUAGCCGGAAGCCCACUGCGGUGAGGAGGGCCUGCCAGCCGGGUAUGCCACCCACUUUGUUCUCCACGCUCUGCUGGGACGUGUACAUGGCAUUUCGCUGUCCAUUCUGGAUGCGCUGCAGGGACUUCUCCACCUGGAGGGGUAAGGGGUUGAGGUGCUGUUCUGCUCAUGGUCCAGCCUGGAUUUCUCUCUGAGUGGCUUUGGGGACACAAAGGCCCAGGUUCAGGGCUGCUGCUGCUACUUAGGCCAGGAGACCAAGAUACUGGCAGUGGCACUGCUUCUUGCACAGGGAGAAGUUAUAGCAAGCACAGACUGGUGUGACCUGGAAGAAUUCUGUCCUUCCCUCACCCACCUACCACUCCAGGCUCUUCACAGACACUGAAGUGACUUGUCUUGAAAACCAAUCUCAGGUCAGAGGACUUCCCCAAACCACAUGAUGGCUCCAUCACCAGGAUGAGCCCUCUGGACUUCCAGACCCCACACACCCAUCAGUGCCCAUCAAAGCCCUGGCUUCCAGUGCCCUUCUUCCCUGUACCUCCAACUGGUUUAUCCUUAAUCCCCCACGCACUCUGAACCUGUCCCUGCCCCUCUACCAUCAGGCCCCUCCUACCUUCUAGGACCCGAACUGGUGCCUGGCCCAUGCGGGGUGAGUUCACCAUAGAACUACUGCAACGACCCCUUCUGGUGAGCAUCACACAGUGCCCCACAGCAGGCCUUUCCCCACACUCCUCUCUCUGGAGGGAUAGAAGAGUGACCCAAGAGGUCACAUGGGGUCUGCCCGAGGCCGCCAUGACAGGCAGUAGAAAUGAACUCCUGGGCAGGGCGGACACCUAGCCAGAGGGCUGCUGCUGGGUGGGAAGGGCCCUGGAGAGAAACUGGCCAAGAAGAGAAGGAAAACCCUUAAAUAUGCCCAAGGAGCCUUGAGGCCAUUUGGGGCAUAGCUGAGGGCCUGGCUUUUGCUGGCCUCAGAAGAGAGCCAAGUGGGCAGAGAGGCAGUUCACUUAUCUAAGAAAAGUGAGAGCUGCAGCAAGGAAGAUGACUUUGGGGUGACAGGGACCUAAGGAGGCCCUAGUGCUAAGCAACUUAAAGGCUCUGUGCAGUAUCCAGAUGAGUCAAAAUCAAAGACUUGUCUCCACAAGUUCUCCCUGCACGCAAGCACAUCUGUUCUGUGGUAAGCAGUGUGAGCCACCUUCUCUGGCCUGAGAAUGGGGGAGGUUUGCAGGUUCUGGCAUUCUUUCUUAUUCAUACUCUGAUUUCUUUCAGCCCUGAGGAGCCCUUCAGGCAGAAGGGCUCCCUAAACUUCAGAAAUAUGCACAGCAAACGAAUCACCAGGAGUGCACUGAGAGCUGCCACCUCUGGGCCUGACACUGGCAUCCAGAGGACAUGCCUACUGGGAACCCCACCCCAGCCUUUGAACUGCCUGCUCAAAACAAACCCCAGCCACUUUCCCUGGGCCCGUCCUCCUGAGCACAGAGCCAAGGUGUGCUCGCCUCUGUCCUGCCAGGGCCCAUGUGUGGAUAUUGGCCUUGGGUUUGGAAAGAGCAUGGAUGUGUCAGGGUCUGCCCACCAUAGCAGUGGCCCAGGCUGGGUGGACUGCUCUUUCCGGAACAGACUUCCAAGGAGCUAAAAAUUCUAAAUUAUUUGAAACUGCCUUCCAGGUUAUCAAGGUAGAAACCAUUUUAUAUCACCAUUUCUUGACUUAGACUUCUGAGUUUAAGUGGAAGGCCUGCUUUAUCUGAUUAAAAAAUAUCGUCUCAGCUACUGAGGCCCUGUGUGCCAGCUAUUCACAUU
Long non-coding RNA from Talpa occidentalis (Iberian mole), 6124 nucleotides. RefSeq lists it as uncharacterized. The transcript is spliced from 5 exons. The record is from RefSeq and is a predicted model, not a curated record. NCBI's taxonomy places the organism in Eukaryota, Metazoa, Chordata, Mammalia, Eulipotyphla, Talpidae.